Molecule: ribosomal RNA, 253 nt
Filed under: uncultured bacterium
Lineage: Bacteria
Description: partial 16S ribosomal RNA
Rfam family: Bacterial small subunit ribosomal RNA
Source: RNAcentral
UACGAAGGGGGCUAGCGUUGCUCGGAAUCACUGGGCGUAAAGCGCACGUAGGCGGCUUUCUAAGUCAGGGGUGAAAUCCUGGAGCUCAACUCCGGAACUGCCUUUGAUACUGGAGAGCUUGAGUCCGGGAGAGGUGAGUGGAACUCCGAGUGUAGAGGUGAAAUUCGUAGAUAUUCGGAAGAACACCAGUGGCGAAGGCGGCUCACUGGCCCGGUACUGACGCUGAUGUGCGAAAGCGUGGGGAGCAAACAGG